UACCACAGGGAUAACUGGCUU
This 21-nucleotide non-coding RNA is filed under the name Arabidopsis thaliana (thale cress). RNAcentral also lists the same sequence under 2 other names. The record is from RNAcentral. Lineage: Eukaryota; Viridiplantae; Streptophyta; Magnoliopsida; Brassicales; Brassicaceae.